UUAUAUGAUGAUUCUCUAUAUUCACACUGUACUAAAUGGUUUAAUUACCAUUAAUGACUAGACAUACACAAAAACUGAUUUAAUGACUCUGAAU
RNAcentral lists this small nucleolar RNA (94 nucleotides) under Tetrapisispora phaffii CBS 4417. The record is from RNAcentral. Lineage: Eukaryota; Fungi; Ascomycota; Saccharomycetes; Saccharomycetales; Saccharomycetaceae.